UACGAAGGGUGCAAACGUUGCUCGGAAUUAUUGGGCGUAAAGCGCACGUAGGCGGUUCGUUAAGUCGGAUGUGAAAGCCCUCGGCUCAACUGAGGAAGUGCACCCGAAACUGGCGAGCUUGAGUACGAAAGAGGAUCGCGGAAUUCCCGGUGUAGAGGUGGAAAUUCGUAGAUAUCGGGAGGAACACCGGUGGCGAAGGCGGCGAUCUGGGUCGAUACUGACGCUGAGGUGCGAAAGCGUGGGGAGCAAACAGG
RNAcentral lists this ribosomal RNA (254 nucleotides) under uncultured bacterium. Its description in RNAcentral is "partial 16S ribosomal RNA". It matches the Rfam family "Bacterial small subunit ribosomal RNA", at positions 524 to 776 of the family's 1533-position model. The record is from RNAcentral.